GAUGAACGCUGGCGGCGUGCCUAAUACAUGCAAGUCGAGCGAACGGACGAGAAGCCUGCUUCUCUGAUGUUAGCGGCGGACGGGUGAGUAACACGUGGAUAACCUACCUAUAAGACUGGGAUAACUUCGGGAAACCGGAGCUAAUACCGGAUAAUAUUUUGAACCGCAUGGUUCAAAAGUGAAAGACGGUCUUGCUGUCACUUAUAGAUGGAUCCGCGCUGCAUUAGCUAGUUGGUAAGGUAACGGCUUACCAAGGCAACGAUGCAUAGCCGACCUGAGAGGGUGAUCUGCCACACUGGAACUGAGACACGGUCCAGACUCCUACGGGAGGCAGCAGUAGGGAAUCUUCCGCAAUGGGCGAAAGCCUGACGGAGCAACGCCGCGUGAGUGAUGAAGGUCUUCGGAUCGUAAAACUCUGUUAUUAGGGAAGAACAUAUGUGUAAGUAACUGUGCACAUCUUGACGGUACCUAAUCAGAAAGCCACGGCUAACUACGUG
This 497-nucleotide ribosomal RNA is filed under the name uncultured bacterium. RNAcentral's name for it is "partial 16S ribosomal RNA". It matches the Rfam family "Bacterial small subunit ribosomal RNA", at positions 28 to 507 of the family's 1533-position model. The record is from RNAcentral.